ACUCGGGCACGAUCUGGCAUCCGCUGGAACCGACCUGAAGUUUCAAUCCUGAGGGA
Molecule: regulatory RNA element, 56 nt
Organism: Corynebacterium glutamicum ATCC 13032
Lineage: Bacteria; Bacillati; Actinomycetota; Actinomycetes; Mycobacteriales; Corynebacteriaceae
Rfam family: L31-Corynebacteriaceae ribosomal protein leader
Source: Rfam